ACUGCUAAUACCGCAUAAUCCCUGAGGGGGAAAGAUUUAUCGCUUUAAGAUUGGCCCGCGGAAGAUUAGGUAGUUGGUGGGGUAAAGGCCUACCAAGCCGACGAUCUAUAGCUGGUCUGAGAGGACGAACAGCCACAUUGGAACUGAGACACGGUCCAGACUCCUACGGGAGGCAGCAGUGAGGAAUAUUGGGCAAUGGAGGAAACUCUGACCCAGCCACGCCGCGUGAGUGAAGAAGGUUUUCGAAUUGUAAAGCUCUUUCGGAUGGGACGAUGAUGACGGUACCAUCUAAAGAAGCCCCGGCAAACUUCGUGCCAGCAGCCGCGGUAAUACGAAGGGGGCAAGCGUUGUUCGGAAUUACUGGGCGUAAAGGGUGUGUAGGCGGAUUUGUAAGAUAGUGGUGAAAUACCUGAGCUCAACUUAGGAAUUGCCAUUAUAACUAUAGAUCUGGAGUGACAGAGAGGAUAUUGGAAUACCCAGUGUAGAGGUGAAAUUCGUAGAUAUUGGGUAGAACACCAGUGGCGAAGGCGAGUAUCUGGCUGUCAACUGACGCUGAGGCACGAAAGCAUGGGGAUCAAACAGGAUUAGAUACCCUGGUAGUCCAUGCUGUAAACGAUGAAUGCUAGUUGUCGGCAAAAGCCGGUGACGCAGUUAACGCGAUAAGCAUUCCGCCUGGGG
This 678-nucleotide ribosomal RNA is filed under the name uncultured bacterium. RNAcentral describes it as "bacterial SSU rRNA". It matches the Rfam family "Bacterial small subunit ribosomal RNA", at positions 159 to 878 of the family's 1533-position model. The record is from RNAcentral.